This is a long non-coding RNA of Cebus imitator (Panamanian white-faced capuchin), 953 nucleotides long. RefSeq lists it as uncharacterized. The transcript has 3 exons. The record is from RefSeq and is a predicted model, not a curated record. NCBI's taxonomy places the organism in Eukaryota, Metazoa, Chordata, Mammalia, Primates, Cebidae.
CGUUGACUAAUGGAUUUGUGAGUGUUUGUUCCCUUCCAUUUUUAAAAAAUAACUGUUUUUAGAACUGGGUGUAUGGCGGGCUGGGUACGGCUGCUCAGUCAGUGAGAAGUAUCCUUAAUUCCCACCCUGACCUCUUCCCCACCCCCUUAUUUCCAUCUGCUCUUUUCAAUCUGCUGUUUGGAUAUGAGGUAUUCUAAGAUCACAUCGUCUUCCUACAUAAUAAGACAGAAUUUCACACCAAGCUGCUGCCUGGCAGGUGGCAAUGAGGUCAUGUUUGAAGAGUGGGCAAGGUACACCACUUGCAAAUAACCUGAGGAAGGGCUCAGUGUGACUUGUGCUCUAAAGAGAUGCAGGGGCUUGAGACAUGUGUCUUUGAAGCAAACCCCAUGGAGGCUGCAGAGAGAUUUUAACAUUAUUAAGGCACAAGUCACACGAUACCACUGGGGCCACUGCCAACUGAUUUGUGCCUCAUAUUCUGGAAGCAAUUCUUCCCUUUGCUUUUGUAGGACUCUGAAAAAAGUGGCAUCAGUCAGCGAAUGCAUGUUUGUGUAAAUUAUGCAUCUGUGAGUUCAUGCUCACAUGGUAUUCAGGAAGCUCCAUGGUGUAUGGUGGAGGCCUUUGUGGGGGAGGGGAAGAUGGAGAGAGGGGCAAGGAGGGAGAGGGGCUGCCAGGAGAUUGGGAAUCCGGAGGUUUCUGUGAAUAGUGACACCUGAAAUGUUUGGUGUCAGUUCUGUUUCUUCAUGGUGGUGAUCUGCUGAACUGGGCACUGUAAGCCCCAACUCCUCUUGUGAAUAAAUUCUGUUCAACUCCUUGUGAAUAAGGUUGACUGUAAAUGGAGUUUCUACAAGUUGCUUCCGUGAUUGGUGCAGACUGGCAAUGGACGAGAAUGCUGAAGGCAAUGGGGCUGUGUACACCCAUCAAAGCUGCAGGGCCUUUGCACUUCCCAGCCUAGA